RNA transcript from Schistocerca piceifrons (Central American locust), 1130 nucleotides. It is a transcript of the gene named mpv17-like protein 2, with no coding region annotated. NCBI's taxonomy places the organism in Eukaryota, Metazoa, Arthropoda, Insecta, Orthoptera, Acrididae. The record is from RefSeq and is a predicted model, not a curated record. The transcript is spliced from 5 exons.
UUCGCAUAGUUUGAGGAGUGGCAGUAGGAGGAGGGACGCAGCGGCCGAUAACUACCAAGCAGUGGGCGAGAUAUGAUUGGGGUGGGGACGUGGAGAGCUGUUUUUGAGGCGUUAUUAGUUGGUCGUUUACGUUAUCCAUAACUUUUAACAUGCGUUUAUUCUGUGGUCUAUUGCGACAUCCUAAAUUAGGCUGCCCGCCAAGAAAGCCUGGUAUAGUAAAGGGUACUGUUCAUGCAGUAUUCGGAAGGUAUUUGCUUGUGACAAACACUAUUACAGGGGGAGUAUUAUUAGCUGCGGGAGAUAUGAUUCAACAAGAAAUUGAGCGUUACAGGCACAAAGAAGUUUCGAAACGAAUGAACCGAUACGACUGGCCACGAGUGGGGCGCAUGUUUUUUGCUGGACUUAUACAAGGACCACCACAACAUUACUUCUACAAAAAGUUAGAUGCUGUGCUCCCAAAUAGAGACUGGAAGAGUGUGUGUGCGAAAAUAUUUUUGGACGAGACUGUGGCAUCACCUAUCUGUAUUGUCCUCUUUUUCUGUGGUGUGGGUAUUUUUGAGAAGGAUGCCUACAGUGAAAUAUGGUCAGAAAUAAAAAGUAAAUUCUGGACAGUUUAUGCUAAACCCAAAAAAAGAGUAGCACACACAGAAAUGGUCUGUUUGCGCUUCCACACUGAAGUCCUUAGAAAGGAGAAAGGAUGUUCUCAGAAAGCUUUUGGUCCCCAGUCUUUCUUCUCAGCAUGGCACAGGCGGAUUGGUUGGUGUGGCCUCCAAGUCAGUUCAUUAAUUUCUACUUCGUGCCUCCAACUUACAGAUUAAUGUAUGUCAACUUUGUCACAACGCUGUACAAUGUUUUCCUGUCAUAUAUCAAGCAUGAAAUGUGAUACAAAUUAGACAGUACCAUCACGACAUCAUAAGGAAUACUUAUAUUGAACAAGGGGCGUGAUUUUACUGCAUACUGUGCCAGUGAAGAGAGCAGUAGAAGGCAGAUGUCACUAAUGUAUGAGACCAGUCAACUGAGAGCCCAUGUCCGUGAAGCACAAUCACAUGCAUGCGUUCUAAGAUAAAUUUGCUUGAACAAUAGUAGGAUAAUUAUCAGAUGAAUAAAUAAAAUUGCACUCAUCACAGUGA